RNAcentral lists this ribosomal RNA (129 nucleotides) under Opitutia bacterium. RNAcentral describes it as "partial 23S ribosomal RNA". It matches the Rfam family "Bacterial large subunit ribosomal RNA", at positions 2784 to 2925 of the family's 2925-position model. The record is from RNAcentral. Lineage: Bacteria; Pseudomonadati; Verrucomicrobiota; Opitutia.
AGCGCCAAGCCUUUCCCAAGAUAAGCUCUCCCAAUAGGAUCCAGGAAGACCACCUGGUUGAUAGGCUACAAGUGUAAGCGGGGUAACCCGUUGAGCUCAGUAGUACUAAUGUCCGAUAGUCUUUUCAUU